AUGGGUGCGCACCGAGAGGGCCGAGGGACUAGCAGAAGAGAAGCUGCUGAGAACUCGGGACACCCAGAUGGCCGGGCGGAGGUUCCUGCAUACGGCGCGGCCUCGGCCACCUCGCCAAGGACCCCGGGAAGGGUCAAGCUUCCCGCGCCUGAGAACCCACCCGGGUGUUCUCGCGCCGCCCGGGUGCCUCCCUCCCUGGCCACCGCAUCACAGUCACCUGGGGGACCUCACCAAACCACAGGUGCCCGGGACCCGCCCCUCCCGGUUCUUUUAUGGAAGUCUCGCUUCCGGGAAGAGGUCAUCCUCCCUUCUUUAAGUCUGUGGCUCUCAGCACCCACAAGUGUGGGAAUUACCAGCACGCUGGGCAAAAAUCCGGGUGCUCAGGCCUGCCACGGACCUACCGGGUUUAUCCAUGAAAAACCUGCAAUGAUAUGCAGCAAAAUGUUAACAGUGUUUAUUUCUGCACUUAUUUGUGGGAGUUUCAUUGUCACCCAGGCUGGAGUGCAAUUAGCGCGAUCUCAGCUCACCGCAACUGCCGCCUCCCAGAUUCAAGCAAUUUUCCUGCCUCAGCCUCCCGAGUAGCUGGGAUUACAG
This 594-nucleotide long non-coding RNA is filed under the name Callithrix jacchus (white-tufted-ear marmoset). RNAcentral describes it as "lncRNA (ENSCJAG00000086768.1)". The record is from RNAcentral. Lineage: Eukaryota; Metazoa; Chordata; Mammalia; Primates; Cebidae.